ACCUUAACUAUUUAUCUUUCAAGUUGAGUUCUCCCUGUGUUUUCCAGGCUGGAGUGUAGUGGCUGUUUACAGGCAUGAUUAUAGUACACUGCAGCCUCCAACUCCUGGGCUCAAGUGAUCCUCCUGCCUCAAACUCCUGAGUAGCUGGGACUACAGGCAUGUGCCACCAUGCCACGGUAUUAACAAUCUAAACAAAAAUAUGAUCAUCUCAUCCAGCACUUUGGGAGGCCAAGGCAGGAGGAUCACUAGAGGCCAGGAGUUCAACUAGCCAGGGCAACAAAGCAAGACCCCCAUCUCUCCUGAGUAGCUGGGGUUACUGGCGCCCUCCACCACGCCGGGCUAAUUUUUGUAUUUUUGGUAGAGAUGGGGUUUCACCAUGUUGGCCCAAAGUGCUGGGAUUACAGGCGUGAGCCACCGCGCCCGGGCGAACUCCAUUGAGUUUAAAUUAGAAAAAUAAAUUUAGCCUUAUUAAACUUGGCUUGAGUAUUUGCAUAAAGUUAGCAAGAAUAAUUAUUUUGCAUAUAGACUCUUCUACUUUUUAAAUUUGGUUUUGCUGAAACUUUAUUCCAUAGAGAAUCUCAAGUUUUUUCUUUAUUCUAAUGUUACAAUUUCCAAAGUUAUUAGAAACCUGCACUCGAGAGCACCUGUUAGAGGUUGGAAUUGAACAAUGAGAACACAUGGACACAAGAAGGGGAAUAACAAACCUGCACGUUGUGCACAUGUACCCUAAAACUUAAAGUAUAAUAAUAAUAAUAAUAAAGAGCACCUGUUAGAGUUCUACAGGUGAUUAUAAAACCACACACCCCUCGGGGGCAGUGCCAGUCAGGGUCACGAACCACACUUCUGCUUGGGGCAUCCUGCCUUGCAGCACACGUAGGGACUACAAUCAGAAAAGAGAGGCGAGCCUUUUCCUGACUAUCUGGGCCAGUGGUGUGGGAGUGUAAGAAUUUACCAAGACAGUUGUAGGUAAAGAAUGGCAGAUUUAUUAGAUAAAGUAGGAAAAUACUUUGCCAGGGAGACAAUGGGCAAGUCAGUGUUCAAUUGUAUGGAUUUCUACUCCUGUUUAUGAUUUCCUUCCUUCUGCUCGUGUUGGGUACGUUUCACUCUUUUUUUAUUUCUUAAGGUGUAGGCUGGUAUUAUUAGUUUAAUUCUAUUAUGGUAAUAACAUAUUUUGUAUGAUUCCAAUUUUUCCAAAUUUGUUAAGCAGAACUCACUCAUCACCAAGGGAACGGCACCAAGCCAUGCAUGAGGGAUCUGCCCCCCUGAGAUAAAUGGUUUCUAAUGAGAAAUCUGCAGCCAUUUGAAUUGUUGUUCCCCUAUGGGUAUUUUCAGUUGUAAAAUUUCCAUUUGCUUCUUUUUGUUUUUUUAUUUUCGAGACAGUAUAACUGUGACACUCAGGCUGUAUGAAUACAAGCACGUGCCACCACACCCACCUAAUUUUUUUUUUAUUUUUCGUAGAGAUGGGUUCUCACUAUGUUACCUAGGCUGGUCUCGAACUCCUCUUUACUGAGACUUUCUCCUUUCUCCUGGUUUCUAGAAUAUUUGUAAGCCCUUGGCUUGCAGCAGCCUCACUAUAGUCUCUGCCUCCAGCCUCACAUGGCCUUCCCCUCGGAGGCUUCUCUGGGUCUCAAAUCUCUCUCUGCUUUCUCUUAUAACAACACAGCUACUGGGUUUAGGGUCCACCCUAGAUUCAGGAUUGUCUCAUCUUGAGAUCCUUAACUUACUUAUGCCUGCAAAGACCUUGUUUCCAAAUACGAUCACAUUCUCAGGUACCAAAGGUUAAGUCUUGCACAUGCCUUUUGAGGGGGAUACAAUUCAUCCCACUACAGGGAAUAAUUUACAUAUGAUAAAAUUCAACAAUUUUAAGUGGCCAGGCAUGGUGGCUCUCCCCUGUA
This 1895-nucleotide long non-coding RNA is filed under the name Homo sapiens (human). RNAcentral's name for it is "non-protein coding lnc-SERPINB6-7:1". Lineage: Eukaryota; Metazoa; Chordata; Mammalia; Primates; Hominidae. The record is from RNAcentral.